RNAcentral lists this ribosomal RNA (546 nucleotides) under uncultured Scutellospora. RNAcentral describes it as "partial 18S ribosomal RNA". The record is from RNAcentral. Lineage: Eukaryota; Fungi; Glomeromycota; Glomeromycetes; Diversisporales; Gigasporaceae.
GUUUCCCGUAAGGCGCCGAACGAGUCAAGAAAAAUUAACAUCGUCCGAUCCCUAGUCGGCAUAGUUUAUGGUUAAGACUACGACGGUAUCUGAUCGUCUUCGAUCCCCUAACUUUCGUUCUUGAUUAAUGAAAACAUCCUUGGCAAAUGCUUUCGCAGUAGUUAGUCUUCAAUAAAUCCAAGAAUUUCACCUCUGACAAUUGAAUACUAAUGCCCCCAACUAUCCCUAUUAAUCAUUACGGUGAUUCAGAAACCAACAAAACAGGACCACCGUCCUAUUUUAUUAUUCCAUGCUAAUGUAUUCAGACAUAAGCCUGCUUUGAACACUCUAAUUUUUUCAAGGUAAAGGUCCUGGUUUCCUACCACGCUAAAUUAAUAACAUGAUAGUUCCCCAGAAGGUAGAAAUUCCACACGCCAGUACAAACAGUAGCCCGACCAACGGUGGAACCCCGAAAUUCAACUACGAGCUUUUUAACUGCAACAACUUUAAUAUACGCUAUUGGAGCUGGAAUUACCGCGGCUGCUGGCACCAGACUUGCCCUCCAAA